This 254-nucleotide ribosomal RNA is filed under the name uncultured bacterium. Its description in RNAcentral is "partial 16S ribosomal RNA". It matches the Rfam family "Bacterial small subunit ribosomal RNA", at positions 524 to 777 of the family's 1533-position model. The record is from RNAcentral.
UACGGAGGGUGCAAGCGUUAUCCGGAUUUACUGGGUUUAAAGGGUGUGUAGGCGGGCUUUUAAGUCAGUGGUGAAAUCUCCGGGCUCAACCUGGAAACUGCCAUUGAUACUAUUAGUCUUGAAUUUUGUUGAGGUAGGCGGAAUAAGUCAUGUAGCGGUGAAAUGCAUAGAUAUGACUUAGAACACCAAUUGCGAAGGCAGCUUGCUAAACAAUAUUGACGCUGAGGCACGAAAGCGUGGGGAUCAAAACAGGG